UACGUAGGGGGCUAGCGUUGUCCGGAUUUAUUGGGCGUAAAGGGCGCGUAGGCGGCCAUGCGUGUCUUCCGUGAAAUCCCUCGGCUUAACCGAGGACGUGCGGAAGAAACUGCAAGGCUCGAGUCCGGAAGAGGGGGGCGGAAUUCCCAGUGUAGCGGUGAAAUGCGUAGAUAUUGGGAGGAACACCAGUGGCGAAGGCGGUCCCCUGGGCCGGAACUGACGCUGAGGCGCGAAAGCGUGGGUAGCAAACGGG
RNAcentral lists this ribosomal RNA (253 nucleotides) under uncultured bacterium. Its description in RNAcentral is "partial 16S ribosomal RNA". It matches the Rfam family "Bacterial small subunit ribosomal RNA", at positions 524 to 776 of the family's 1533-position model. The record is from RNAcentral.